Long non-coding RNA from Drosophila yakuba, 915 nucleotides. RefSeq lists it as uncharacterized. The record is from RefSeq and is a predicted model, not a curated record. The transcript is spliced from 2 exons. NCBI's taxonomy places the organism in Eukaryota, Metazoa, Arthropoda, Insecta, Diptera, Drosophilidae.
UUUUAGAUUCACAAAUUUUUUUACGUCAUUAUUAUUAUUGACUUCAUAGACAUUGGGCUCUUUAUUGUAAUUUUGCAAUUUAUUGUUUUCAUCUGGCCAGAUGUCUGCCUGUCUUUUUGAUCUCGUUUGGACCAUCAAUAUAUUUCUAUUCAUUUCUAUUAAGUUUUCAAUGCUAACUCUAGAGAUGUAAUGUCCCCAUAUAUCAAGAUUUUUUUUUAAAUCCCCAAAAUUUGCGCCUUAGUUAGUAGCGAUAAUAAUUAUCGGAACCUUAUCUGGCAACGUCAUCUAAAUGGCAAUUGACCAGCUGGUGAAUAUUGAUUCGGAGAAAAGUUCUUCGGAUCCCCAGCAUCUAGCUUCGAUCUUUUCUUACGACGAUCGUCAAGCUUAUAAGUUCAGUCCCAGCAGAGAUAAGACCUAGCAAAAAGGCAAAUCAAGAAAAAAGAACUGGAGAGUACAAUCACAUGUGCUCCCAACUUUAAUCCAGCGUUUAUUUCGGCAUCAAGAUUAAAAGGCCACAAAGAAAAGGCAAUUAAUAAAUGCCCGUGGAUUGCCGUGUCGGCAAGGUCACGCGUGUUAUUUUUUAUCGUCGACUACACAGCGAGAAAUCGCCAGGUCGAUCGAUUCCACUAAAGAAAAAAAUCACUGGGUAAAUAUCCAAGUAAUUCUGGGGAAAAAUUGCCCGAAAUGAAUGAGUUAUAUUCCCGCAGUUACCCGAGGAAACGAAGCUGAAUUUUAAACUCUUCCACGCCGACCCAAAAGUUCGGCUGGAGUCAGCUACCUCUGCUGGGAGACAAAUUCUUCGGAGGUCGCAGGAAAAAAAUCUACAGAAAAACCUACAUAGAAAUAAAAACCCUUACAAAACUAGUGUAAAACAAAAACAGAUUAAAAUACCAUCAGUGCCUAAAAACCCAAAAA